Molecule: long non-coding RNA, 10213 nt
Filed under: Lynx pardinus (Iberian lynx)
Lineage: Eukaryota; Metazoa; Chordata; Mammalia; Carnivora; Felidae
Source: RNAcentral
GGAAUAUCUUCCAAUUAUAGUGAUGAUUCUCCAUAUAGCUGGUCAUUUCCACCUUAUCAUCCCUCCUCUGAAAAGUAUGAAAACACCAAGGUAAGGAUGUGAAAGAGGUGGUAUUCUGUAGAGGAACUGCUUUUUUUUCCUGUUUAGCAAAUUAAGGUUAACUUCUGUAUGUGUCACAUGUUCUUUCAGGUUGGUUAUACAGUGAAGUCUGUGAUCAUGACGUGGCAGAGACAGAUGUCGGGAUCUUUAGCAUUAGAUCCGCUGGGAGAGGUGGCUUCGUUUUAGAAGCACAUGGAUAUGGCUUGUUCUAGAACCUUAUGCUCUAGUGUGUAAGGCUCAUUUAAUGGCUGCCGGGUGCUUACUCUGGGUAGGGAGAAGAGUGGCUUGUCCUCCAGGGGCCUUGGCCCAAGUUGGGAGAAAGGCAUAUGUACAUAUAUAUGUCUGUCUCUCCGUCUCAGGCCUAACGGAUAGGAUCAGGUGCUAAGACCUUUGACGGGGGUUUUGAAAUUUUAGAGCAUUACAGAAAAAAAAAGGAGUCUGCAGAGAACUUUAAUCUUAGUGUAGAGGAACAUGCAAUGUAGAAAUGAAACUAAAUACCGCAUUUAAAACAUUCAGAAAAGCAGCUGGAGAACUGAGAUAUAGGACAUAACUCCUCUGAGGUUUUUAAAGACCUCAUAUGGAGGGGGACGUGGAUUUGGGGGAGGCGGUUGGUCAGGGGAGAGGAGUAUUCUAAAUUUUUGACAACCUUCCAUUUCAGAAUACACAGCAAGAGCUCAGGGCUCUGGCCUUUGGCCUGUGCCUUGAGUACUACCAGAGUGACACUGGGAAGACAUGUCUCAAUGCUUUCAUCCCCUGAAGCCGUUUUGAGAGUUUUUAGUGACCUCACUUAUAAAUGCUGGCUUCUGUCCUCACUCCCCACAUUCAUCCUCAAAGCAGUGGGUCUGACUGUCCCACACCCCCGUGAGUGCUGCAGCUCAUGUGUAGCUAUAGGGUGAGCAGGUGCUGGGCUGUCUUGCCUGGGGGCGGUGUGGCCAAGAUUGGCCUGUGAAAGAAUGCUGCUUUUUGGGAUGGGGCAGCAGCAGCUGGGUGUUUGUGAGGCCAAAAUCAUGGUCAGAACUGACCUUGGCCUUGUGGGCACUAUGACCACUUUGGGCAAUGAAGCAAUAGGUUCCAUUCUGUGCAUGGCAUCAUUGAAGAUGUGGAAAUUCCAUGGAUUGUGACCUUAUCCAGUUGACUGGGACUUUGUCACUCAUAAGUCUUAGUCUGUCUUUGAAAUUGAAGACAGGGGUUUUUUUGUUGUUAAAAAAAUGUUUUGAGAUAUAAUCGAUACACCAUAAAAGUCACCCUUUUAAUGUGUGCAAUUCAGUGAUUUUUAGUAUGCUCAGGGUUGUGCAACCAUCAACAAACCAUUUAAGAGCAUUUCCAUUACUCUGGAAAGUAUGUGGGUACCCGUUACCAUUCAUUCCCCAUUUUCUCUGAACCCUCGGCCUAUGGCAACAACUGAUCUACUUUCUUUCUCUAUGGAUUUGCCUAUUCUGGACAUUUUGUGUAAAUGGAAUCAUACAGUAUAUGGCGUUUUGUGUUUGGCUUCAUUCAUAGUGUUCCUGAGGCUCAUCCACGUUGUAGCAUGUAUCAGAACUUCAUUACCUUUUUUUUUUUUAAAGAUUUUAUUUUUAAGUCCUCUCCACCCAGUAUGGAGCUUGAACCCACAAACUCGAGAUCGAGAGUUGCAUGCCUACUGACCGAGCCAGCUAAGCUCCCCAAAGCUUCAUUACUUUUUAUAGCCAAAUGGUAUUCCAUUGUAUGGAGGAGAUAACACGUUUUAUUUAUCCGUUCAUCAGCUGAUGGACAUUUGGGUUUCCACUCUUUGGCUACUAUCAGUAAUACUGCUAUUCACGUACAGGUGUUCGUGUGGCUUAACUUUUCAUUUCUCUUAGGUGGAACUGCCAGGUCAAGUAUCUGUGUGGACGUAGGUUUUAAUUUUUUCCGGUAUCCACCUAGGUGUAGAAUUGCUGGGUUACACACUAACUCUAUGUUUCACUGUUUGAGGAACCCCCUGAGUGUUUUCCACAGUGACUGUAGCAUUUCACAUCCCCAGCAGCAUGUAUGAGGGCUCUGGUUUCUGCCCAUCCUUGCCAGCACUUGUUAAUGUCCAGUUUAAAAAAUUCUAGCCAUCCUAGUAUUAUUGUCUGUCCAGUUUUAAAAAUUCUAGCCAUUGUAGUGGGUGGGAAGUAGUAUCUCAUUUUGGGUUUCACUUGUGUUUCCAUGACGACUAAUGACAUGAAGCAUCUUUACAUGUGCUUUUUGGCCAUUUAUCUGUCUUGUCUGGAGAAAUCUCUGUUCAAGUACCUUGUCCAUUUUUUAAUUCGCUUAUUUUUUUUUUUUAUUGAGCUGGAGACAAAUUUGUUUUGGUCAUUCGUUUACAUGGGCUUCCUUUAAUUAAUUAAGGCCUGGAGACAGAAGAUGAACAGCAAGAAGCUAAGUGCUGGUGGAUUUCUGGCCCAGGCCCUGCCUGCAAAAGAUGAAACGUUUCUCUGUUUUAGUUCUAGUUCGUGUGUGCCCGACCACUUUGAAUGAUGAAGAUUUACAGGCUAGUGAUAUGAAUGUUAAAUCCUCUGUGUGUGCAGCCUUCAUGACUCCUGUUUCUUGCAUUUCAAGAGCUGACAGCGUUACAUGUUUUGUUUUCAAAGACAUGCAGGGGGCCGGACGGACAGCUCCAUGCCAACCUGCUUUGCCCUGUGGAUGUGGCGGAUGUGCCGGAGGGCACCUUGCCUGACAAACAGAGCACCGAGCAAGCUAUACGGUUGUUGGAAAAGAUGAAAACAUCAGCCAGUCCUUUCUUCCUGGCUGUUGGGUAUCACAAGCCACACAUCCCCUUCAGAUACCCCAAGGUGAAGAUCUGGCUGAGGGUUGAUCCAGCACAGCUGUGACAGCUCUGUCCUUUCUCGAAGGAGAGAUUAGUGUAGUGAGGGCGGCCACAUCCUGCCGGCCCUGUCGCUGGGGUGCCUGAUGGCACUACUGUACUCAGUGGUGUGGAGAUGGGAUGCAGAGGUCAAGGCUAAGAAGUAGACUUGGGGUAUGUAAGAAUCUUGUUGGAAAUGCUUGGUUUUCUGCCUCCCCCACUGGAGGGUUUUAGUUUUUUUCUCUUGGACUCCGUGAGCAUGUGCUGGGUUGGAUGGUAAGAUCACCAGAGAGAAGGGAGUCAGAGCUGGCUGCCAAGGCCCUCGGUAAGGGAUGGUCCUUGGGGGCACGGUUCCAAGGAACGUGAAGCCGUGUUCAGUAGUUGGCGCUCCCCCUGAGCCUGGUGGGUCAGAUCCCUUCAACACAGGGCACUGCUUGCAUGUCCGUCAUUCAGAGCAUGUAGUCUCUGCUGUUUAAAAAUCCUUUUCAGUUUUUCCCUGUCGCUGUCGUGUCUUCCCUAGGCCUAAGCAGCCCGUUCUUUUGACUUUGUAAAGAAUGCCCCUCACUAGUGAUGGAUGUAGAGAGCAAAAGACAUGUUCUUUGAUGCUCUGACUGGCGCAGGGGAUCUGGCCCUCCCAGCCGGGGUUAACCUGGCAGGCCUGGCUGCUCUCCUUAGAAAGGUCUGCUUGCGAGGCUGGGCUUUGGCUGGCCUCUGGGAAGCUGGAGUUGGCACCGCUCCCAGAGCGAUGAGUGGCUUUCUGUGCCCAAACUGUUGACGCAAACCCCCGCUCUCCUGCCUGGAGUCUGCAGUUUGGGUAUGUGAGGGCAGAGGGUGCCCGGGGGAGUGACCCCAGGAAGCAGCCCGGGUGCUGAGGCUUUAACGAGCUUCCGUGCCGGCAGCAUUUCACACAUGUUGGCACACCGCUCCCUGCUGGGAGGAUUAAGCACAUCCUGUGUGACCUCACUGGGAGAGGAUUCUGGAAACUUGUGCCUGGUCUCCCUUGGGCAUUGCCCACGUGGCUUUGCUGAUUGUGUCUGCUGCCCUUGCGCUGUCAUCAGGCACAACCACGGGCGUGCCUGAGCACGUUCUGUGAGCAACUCCCAGGGUGUUGUCAAACCGGAGGGAGGUUUUGGGAACUGGAAACACCCUUCCGCGCCUUUUCCACUUGGAGGGGAGGUGGGAAGUGGGGAUGGGAAUAGGAGGGUAUUGAUAUAUAGGAGAAAAGAGAGCCAUUGCUGCUUGGUUCAUAGAAAACGAGUGGCGAUAUCAUUACCAUUGGCAUCUUGUGAGUGUGACCUCAAGUCUGACUUUGUAGUGUCAGUGAGCUGCCGUGUAAGUGCAUCACAGGCUUAAAAAGGCAGUAUAAAUAUCUGUAGAGUCCCAGCCUUGUGCCUCUGCCAGAAAAGAAUGACAACCUGGUGUCUUUGUGUGCUUUUCCCCCAAGGAAUUUCAGAAGCUGUAUCCCUUGGAGAACAUCACCCUGGCUCCCGAUCCCCAGGUGCCUGCUGGCCUCCCUCCUGUGGCCUACAACCCUUGGAUGGACAUCAGGCAGCGGGAGGACGUGCAAGCCUUGAACCUCAGUGUGCCCUAUGGCCCAAUUCCUGUGGAUUUUCAGGUACCAAGGACAUAUUUGAGGGAAUUAUUGGGCACUUCUGGUGUGAUGUCAUUGGUGACACCACUUUUCUCCAUAGACACCACUCUACCCAUCAUGUCUUCCUAAGAAUCUUCUCUGUGCUAGGUGUCUUGUGAGGUGCUGAGGGUGGGGUGGUCUGGAGGAAUUUCGGAUGUAGGGGGUGCUGAGUGGAUGUAGUCUCCCAAUCAGUGUCUCCACUUCCAAAGAAGGAGGCAUCUGGAGAUUUGGUGAUUCACAGGACGUAGGCACCGGGGUAGGGAGGAGGCCUGGACGACCAUCACUAACUCAUGGGGGUGCUGUUCAAUCCAGGUGACAGCUCAUCAGCUAUGGGACGGCGGGCAGCUCCUGUGUAGCCCAGAAUGUUUGUUUUGCUGGCACUGGCAGGUCCUCUCUGUGGGGAAGCCUGCACAGGUACCCAUCACUCUCAGGCGGUGGUGUGGUGGGCAGGGCCUUGACACAGAGGGAGCUGGGGCACCGACGUGGCUGUCCCGCUGCGACAUCUGAUGUCCCUUUGCCAUCGCGUGGGGGUGGAGCAGCCAGACUUAGAAUCCUCAUGCUGACUCAUCAGUCACCCUCCCCCCGGAGUACAGAAACCGUGCUGACCAAUGCUCUUUCUGGACUAUUCCACACGCAGCCCUGCCCUUCUGUUACUAUGUGAAUACACCAAUAGGCAAUUUACCAUGGAAGGUAGACGGCAGUGUUUUUAAAGGCUGCUUCCUGGACCGCCUGCAUCAGAAUCCCCACAGGGGCUUCUUAUAAGCAGAGUCCUGGCGUCACUCAGACUUAGGGAGUUGGGAGCUUGAAGUGGGUCCUGAGAACUUGCAUUUGCAAAAGCACACCUGGCGAUUCUGAUGCACUCAGAGGUUUGGAAAUACUGCUACAGGGCACAGUUCCAAACACCACAAAAGGGUGAGGGAUGUGCGCCCCUUGUAUCUGUUGGACUCCUGAGGUUCGGAGGGCAGUGGUGAGAGUUUGGAGAGGAGUAGAUUCACCACUUGGUCCCAUUCCUAACUUCCCGAUGCCGGGGUUCUGAGAGCAAGGCUGCGCGAAUUGCAGCUCUGAGGCCACACCUGGAUGUUAGUGACGGCCACUUAAAAUGUUCUUGAAAUGGGACUGUGUCCCAGGAAGGGUGCCCAGUGUUUUAUGUUGCUAUCUCGCUUGGUCUGCAUGGGAAGCUAGUGAGGUACCUGCCGUUGCUGUUGUCCAGGCUUCUCAGUGGUCUGGGUUCGAAUUCCCGUUCUGCCCCAUACCAGCUGCACAACCCAUGGCAAGUCAUUUUACGUCUCUGAGCCUCAGCUUCCUUCUCUGUAAAAUGGAAACGAGGUGGAGAAAGGUUUUCAGCAGGGAGCACAGAGCACAUACGAAAGCGUCUAAGUGCGAGCUGCGUGUGAGGGCUCCUUCAGGUGCUCUCCUCCCCUCCCCACACCCCUCCUCACGGGUGGUGCAGCCGCCCAGAGGACCUCCCUGGUGUGCUUGUGUGCUCCUGCCUCUGCACACUCACCUUGAACUUGGGCCCUGCUCACUGUCCUCUUGCAGCUUUGGGUGUCUGUGCCCAGGCCGCAUCUCACUCCACUCUUGAGUAUCUCAAUUCUGCCCUCUCCAGCCUCUGGCCCUCUUCCUCAGCUCCACAUGAGCCAGUGGCCUCAGGGGCCACACUCGGGGUUUGCCACCUCCCGGGUCCACUCCUGCUCGGUCAUCACCCCGACUGACCGCAGUCUCUUCUUCUCACAGCUCCCUCGCUCCAUGUCUCCGUUCUCCACAUGCCUCAUGGGGAUUGUGAGUGUGGCCCUCUCCUCUCCCCUUGGGUCCUGUCCCCUCUGGAGUCUCCUCCUGGGCAGGUCGCUUACUGUUCUUGCCAGCUCCUCAGUACACUGGUGCUCCGAUCCUUGCCUCACCUGCAGUGCUCCGAUCACACAAUGGUCCCACCACCCACUCUGCUCUGAAACCCAAGUCCUGAGGCUGCUGGAGUGAACCUGGGCAGCCAUGAGAUGGAGACACGCUCAUGGGCCCAGCCUCCAGCCCCAGCAGCCCAUCCAUGGGGGCUCUCUGCUCAGAACUCCCUUGACCUGUGUGGCCGCUCAGAACCCGUGCCACUCUCCUCCUGCCCCUUCUACCCCUCUGCCCCAUCUCUCGGCAGAUGAUGCCACUUGGGAUUUCAGAAAUGGAGGCUGGUGGACAGCCCCGGGGAUGGGACACCCAGGAUGAGUGUGGGUACUGACCUGGGCCAUGUCCCCCUGGCCAGCUGUGUGUCUCCAGGCAAGUUAAUCCACCUCUCCGAGCCCUGGAAUCUUCCCGUGUCAUAUGGGAAUGUUAGUGCUCACCGUAAAGGGUGGCUCCGAGGAUCGGGUGGCACCCGGCAAAUAUUUGGUAAACAGCGCUGUUGGUAAUGCCCCUUACCGGUCGCCAGAAUCGUGCAUGCUCGUGUGCUGGGCUGUGGCCAUCUCCCUCAUCUCGGAAGAAGAACAGCAGGGACCACCCCCACCCCACCCCCUCGUCCCAUCGCCAUGAGCUCCUCCUUCCUCAGAAUGGAACCUUGUUUGGAAUCAGGGUCAUUGCAGAUGUCAUUAGUUAAAAUGAGGUCAUACUGGAGGGGCACCUGGGUGGCUUAGUUGGUUAAGCAUCUGAUUUUGGCCCAGGUGAUGAUUUUGCGGUUUCGCGAGUUCAAGCCCCAUGUCAGGCUCUACGAUACAGCACAGAACCUGCUUGGGAUUCUCUCUCUCCCUCUCCCUCUCUCUGUCUCUCUGCACUUCCCCUGCUUGUGUGCAUUUUCUCUCUCUUCUCUCUCUCUCAAAAAUAAACAUUUUUUUUUUUUUUUAAAAAUGAGGUCAUACUGGAGUCGUAUGAUCUGUGUUCUUGUACACAGGAAGAAGGCCAUGUGAGGAGGGAGGCAGAGAUUGGGGUGAUGUGGCCACAAGCCCAUGGGCACCAAGGAUGCCGGGCACCAGCAUAAGCUGGAAGAGGCAGCCCCCUCCCUCAGAGCUGGCAGAGAGAACCUGGCUCUGCCGACACCUGGAUCUCGGACUCUGGCCACCGGAACUGGGAGACAGAACAUUUCUAUUGUUCUAAGCCCCCCAGUUUCUGGUCCUUUGGGAGUGAAUAGAGCUUUGGUGGGGUCUUUGGUGCCACCCUCAGUGGGAGUUUGGAGUGCCUGGGGGAUGAGUUUCAGUGUACGGGGCCAUUUCCUGGGACCCGUAAGAUUAUGUGAAGGAGACAGAAGGGGAUAGUAAGUGGCACAUCCAUCUGCUGUGAUCUGUGCCCUAAAGUGAAAUCUGAUUCACUUAGAAAAUAAUCUUCCUUUUGGAUCUGCUGCGGACCCAGAUUUCGCUGGGACCAUGUGGGCAAGGGGCUAUGGAUGGUGGGGAAACACACGUUAUGUUUUGGCUGAGAGAGUUAAGGGCGUCAGUGGCGGAAUGCUCAGGUGACACUCUUCUGUGUACCACUGCAAUUCCAAUUGCACUCACUCUCUUUUUUUUAAUGUGCAGCGGAAAAUCCGCCAGAGCUACUUUGCCUCUGUUUCGUAUUUGGAUACACAGGUUGGCCACCUUUUGAGUGCUUUGGAUGAUCUCCAGCUGACCAAUAGCACAAUCAUUGCAUUUGCCUCAGAUCAUGGUAAGCAUUUUCAAAUACCUUGGUGAGUCACGCAAAACAUGGGAACUUUUCUGUGAAAUGUGCUUUUCUAGAUUGCCUUAAACAUAGGCGUGUUCUCUUUUGAGAAUCAGCAGUGCCCCAAGUCUGGGGUCUCAGGGUGCUUUUAUGAUUGUCCUAUUAGUCCUGAGACCUCUCUCCGUGGGGGCGGGGCCUCUUUUGGGUACAAGGAGCGUCUUGGAUGCUUGGGAGGGGACCUGAUAGCAACCUUUUUUUUUUUAUUGAUGAACUCAGCAGGAACCCUCCAUUUGUGUCGGGAGCCCUUUUAACCCAUGCUGCUCAUCUAGACUGUUAGAGGAUUUCAGUUUUUCUUAGGAGGAUCCAGAAGAAUCCUGGCAGGGCCCCACAAGGCCCUCAGACCUGACUGCACCCCUCUAUUCCCAGCCCUGAUGUUCUCUCUGCCAAGAGCCUGGGGCUCGCAGUGCUUUCUCUCUUUUAAUUAAGGCAGUUUCCUACUUUUCCAAAAAUGGAAACAGUUUAUUUAAAACUUUUUUUCUUAAUUUGAAAUUUUUAUCAAGCUGAAGAAUAGAGGCUAAACAACACCCCCCAGUCCCCAUCACCCUGCUCCCACAUGCCCGAGGCUAACUGGUGCUGACAGAUCUGGGAUCCGUUUGGCAGCCUUUGGUUGUACAUAUACAUGUGGCGGUGGAGUGUGUGUGUGUGUGUGUGUCAUAUAUAGUCAUGGAACAAGGCAGAAUCGAUUGUGCUUAUAAACUGUUUUGUUCCCUAGUUUGCUUUUUCCACCUAAUGUCACAGACAGUUCUCCAUGUGAUUUCUCACAGGCCUGCCUUAAGCCUUGUAAAGUCCCACAUCAUUUUGUCUUCUGUGGAGGCAUCCUAAGUUUUCGCUGUUUCCUGAUGGUUUGCCAUCCCCUCCGGCCCCUCUUUCCCAUGCCCAGUUCCUCUUCCAGUGCUCACACAGUCUGGUGCACCCAUGAAGGCCAGGCCCACAUGGAAGCUCUCUUUGCUCUGAGGCAGCUGCACUGAUGACAGAUGGCCCUCCUGAGACUUCCCACCUCCCAACCACAAAAGCCUUCUCCAAUCCAUACAUGGCAGCUUGAUGUGGCUUUGGUUAUUUUGUAACACGAACUACUCAAUGUGCAAUCUCUUUCAUCUUUUUUAUGUCAAAACGGGUGCUCUGAUGCAGACAUUAGAAAUUUCCAGCUUGGGGUUUUCAAGCUGUCUUUUGCAAGGGAUGGAUGUUUUAAGUCAGGGUUAAGAGGUUUUUUUUUUGUUUUGUUUUGUUUUUUUAUCAAGGUCAAGGAUCUCAAAUCAAGUUAUAUUUGUUUGGUCUGUGGUAUAUUUUAAAAAUUGAAUAAGCUAUCCUUGUCUUUUUAAAAUGUGAGUGAUAGUGCCACAGUGUCACAGCUCAUUGUUCGGCGGCAUGCCGUCAGGUGCAGACCUGAGCCUGCGGGACUUGUGUCAAGGGAGGCCAGCCCAGGGCUGGGCAGCGGCANNNNNNNNNNNNNNNNNNNNNNNNNNNNNNNNNNNNNNNNNNNNNNNGAGCCCCUCUCAGCAGGGGCGGCAUGUCUGUGCGGGGCCGUGGGUCCCUCAGCACCCAGCUUGGGUGCAAUUGCUAGUUGUUUGCUAAAAGAAGAUAGUUUCAUUUGAGAAUUUAGUAUUUUUUUUCCUUUUAGAGUUUCCUCAUUCAGGACAAAGGUCUAACUUCAAAUAAAGCAAUACUUAGAUUUAGGGGAAGUCCCCUUUUUGUGGUCAUUAUAGAGGAAUUUCUUCUGAUGAGUGUUUGUUUCCUCUGGUUUUUACAACAGGAAAUGAAACGGUAUCUAAAGUGGGCAAUGAAUAAUAUCAUUAUUCGUUUUCUGUCGUUCUGUGCUUUUUAUGACCCAGGGUGGGCUCUAGGUGAACAUGGAGAAUGGGCCAAAUACAGCAAUUUUGACGUCGCUACCCGCGUGCCCCUGAUGUUCUAUGUUCCCGGGAGGACGGCUCCGCUUCCAGAGGCAGGAGAGGAGCUUUUCCCUUACAUCGACCCUUUCGAUUCUGUGUUGGAAUUGAUGGAGCCAGGUAUAAAAUACA